UUUGUACUCCCUCCGUCCCAAAAUUGUUGUCUUAAAUUUGUGUAUAUACGGAUGUAUCUAGUUACAUUUUAGUGUUAGAUACAUCCGUAUCUAAACAAAUGUAAGACA
Molecule: non-coding RNA, 108 nt
Organism: Triticum urartu
Lineage: Eukaryota; Viridiplantae; Streptophyta; Magnoliopsida; Poales; Poaceae
Source: Rfam